CGAGCCGGGCGGGCGGCCGCGUGGAGUCCCUCACGGGACUUCCCGAGGAACGUCCGGGCUCCACAGGGCAGGGUGAUGGCUAACGGCCACCCGGGGUGACCCGCGGGACAGUGCCACAGAAAGCAGACCGCCGGAGGCUUCGGCCCCCGGUAAGGGUGAAACGGUGGUGUAAGAGACCACCAGUGCCCAGGGCGACCUGGGCAGCUAGGUAAACCCCACCCGGAGCAAGGUCAAGAGGGGCGCCGUGAAAAGCGCUCUGCGCGGACGUUCGAGGGCUGCCCGCCCGAGUCCGCGGGUAGACCGCUGGAGGCCGGUGGCAACACCGGCCCUAGAUGGAUGGCCGUCGCCGGAGGGCCCGCGAGGACCCUCCGGAACAGAACCCGGCGUACAGCCCGACUCGUCUG
RNAcentral lists this RNase P RNA (404 nucleotides) under Streptomyces sp. WAC 04229. RNAcentral's name for it is "RNase P RNA component class A". It matches the Rfam family "Bacterial RNase P class A". Rfam says of the family: Ribonuclease P (RNase P) is a ubiquitous endoribonuclease, found in archaea, bacteria and eukarya as well as chloroplasts and mitochondria. Its best characterised activity is the generation of mature 5'-ends of tRNAs by cleaving the 5'-leader elements of precursor-tRNAs. RNAcentral also lists the same sequence under 2 other names. The record is from RNAcentral. Lineage: Bacteria; Bacillati; Actinomycetota; Actinomycetes; Kitasatosporales; Streptomycetaceae.